GAUGAACGCUGGCGGCGUGCCUAAUACAUGCAAGUCGAGCGAACAGAUGAGGAGCUUGCUCCUCUGACGUUAGCGGCGGACGGGUGAGUAACACGUGGAUAACCUACCUAUAAGACUGGGAUAACUUCGGGAAACCGGAGCUAAUACCGGAUAAUAUAUUGAACCGCAUGGUUCAAUAGUGAAAGACGGUUUUGCUGUCACUUAUAGAUGGAUCCGCGCCGCAUUAGCUAGUUGGUAAGGUAACGGCUUACCAAGGCAACGAUGCGUAGCCGACCUGAGAGGAUGAUCGGCCACACUGGAACUGAGACACGGUCCAGACUCCUACGGGAGGCAGCAGUAGGGAAUAUUCGGCAAUGGGCGAAAGCUUGACGGAGCAACGCCGCGUGAGUGAAGAAGGUCUUCGGAUCGUAAAACUCUGUUAUUAGGGAAGAACAAAUGUGUAAGUAACUAUGCACGUCUUGACGGUACCUAAUCAGAAAGCCACGGCUAACUACGUG
This 497-nucleotide ribosomal RNA is filed under the name uncultured bacterium. RNAcentral's name for it is "partial 16S ribosomal RNA". It matches the Rfam family "Bacterial small subunit ribosomal RNA", at positions 28 to 507 of the family's 1533-position model. The record is from RNAcentral.